Molecule: non-coding RNA, 110 nt
Organism: Acanthosepion pharaonis
Lineage: Eukaryota; Metazoa; Mollusca; Cephalopoda; Sepiida; Sepiidae
Source: the annotation of a GenBank genome assembly
UAUGGCCCUAUCACAUUGAAACACUUGUUCCCAUACGAUCACUGAAGUUAAGAAUGUCAAGCCUGGACAGUACUUAGAUGGGUAACUGCUCAGGAAUACCAGGUGCUAUA